This 68-nucleotide transfer RNA is filed under the name Phenacomys intermedius (western heather vole). RNAcentral describes it as "tRNA-Phe". It matches the Rfam family "tRNA". Rfam says of the family: Transfer RNA (tRNA) molecules are approximately 80 nucleotides in length. Their secondary structure includes four short double-helical elements and three loops (D, anti-codon, and T loops). Further hydrogen bonds mediate the characteristic L-shaped molecular structure. tRNAs have two regions of fundamental functional importance: the anti-codon, which is responsible for specific mRNA codon recognition, and the 3' end, to which the tRNAs corresponding amino acid is attached (by aminoacyl-tRNA synthetases). tRNAs cope with the degeneracy of the genetic code in two manners: having more than one tRNA (with a specific anti-codon) for a particular amino acid; and 'wobble' base-pairing, i.e. permitting non-standard base-pairing at the 3rd anti-codon position. Lineage: Eukaryota; Metazoa; Chordata; Mammalia; Rodentia; Cricetidae. The record is from RNAcentral.
GUUAAUGUAGCUUACAAUUAAAGCAAAGCACUGAAAAUGCUUAGACGGAUGACAUCAUCCCAUAAACA